RNAcentral lists this unclassified non-coding RNA (219 nucleotides) under soil metagenome. Its description in RNAcentral is "partial contains 5.8S ribosomal RNA, internal transcribed spacer 2, and large subunit ribosomal RNA". The record is from RNAcentral.
AACGAGGCCGACCUGCGGCUGAGUUACCUGCGGAGGGAUCAUUACAAGCGACCCCGGUCUAACCACCGGGAUGUUCAUAACCCUUUGUUGUCCGACUCUGUUGCCUCCGGGGCGACCCUGCCUUCGGGCGGGGGCUCCGGGUGGACACUUCAAACUCUUGCGUAACUUUGCAGUCUGAGUAAACUUAAUUAAUAAAUUAAAACUUUUAACAACGGAUCU